RNAcentral lists this ribosomal RNA (305 nucleotides) under uncultured bacterium. RNAcentral's name for it is "bacterial SSU rRNA". It matches the Rfam family "Bacterial small subunit ribosomal RNA", at positions 338 to 660 of the family's 1533-position model. The record is from RNAcentral.
CCUACGGGAGGCAGCAGUGGGGGAUAUUGCACAAUGGGGGAAACCCUGAUGCAGCGACGCCGCGUGGGUGAAGAAGCGCCUCGGCGCGUAAAGCCCUGUCAGCAGGGAAGAAAAUGACGGUACCUGAAGAAGAAGCCCCGGCUAACUACGUGCCAGCAGCCGCGGUAAUACGAAGGGGGCAAGCGUUAUCCGGAUUUACUGGGUGUAAAGGGGGCGCAGACGGCGAUGCAAGCAAGGUGUGAAAGCCCGGGGCCCAACCCCGGGACUGCUCUUGGAACUGCGUGGCUAGAGUGCAGGAGGGGCAG